GUGCAGACGUUUCCAGCGAGGCCCAGCCUGAUGUGGCUGCGUCCUUCUGACGUCUGCCAGAGUCAAGCGGGGCUGUUUGAGGCUCUGCUGUGGCUCUCCACGCCGGGGUUAUAGGUUCGCCUCCAACAGUU
Molecule: small nucleolar RNA, 131 nt
Filed under: Tetraodon nigroviridis (spotted green pufferfish)
Lineage: Eukaryota; Metazoa; Chordata; Actinopteri; Tetraodontiformes; Tetraodontidae
Description: Small nucleolar RNA SNORA9 (ENSTNIG00000020538.1)
Source: RNAcentral